Molecule: long non-coding RNA, 203 nt
Filed under: Phaseolus vulgaris (common bean)
Lineage: Eukaryota; Viridiplantae; Streptophyta; Magnoliopsida; Fabales; Fabaceae
Description: long non-coding RNA (PVUL_LNC003512)
Source: RNAcentral
CAGGAAACAAUCGAUAAGAAAUUCAGUUUACCAAAAACAGCAAACAAAACAGCAGAACCAGAAAAACAAUCGGUUGUUUCACAGAAACAAUCGGUUGUUUAUACCAGCAAACAACAAACAAAGCUGAAAUUAAAGAGUUAAGGAUAGAAAGAUUGCACACAGAUGUUUAUACUGGUUCACUCCAAAUCCAGAGCUACAUCCAG